This 2087-nucleotide long non-coding RNA is filed under the name Phascolarctos cinereus (koala). RNAcentral's name for it is "lncRNA (ENSPCIG00000033194.1)". Lineage: Eukaryota; Metazoa; Chordata; Mammalia; Diprotodontia; Phascolarctidae. The record is from RNAcentral.
CCUGAGUUUCCUAAAACUACGGACAUAACUGAACGCUCUGCAUAUAUUUUGUAUAUACUUAUUUACAUGUUGCCUAUGGUCCACUAGAAUGGAAGCAACCUGACGGCAGAGAACGUGUUUUUGCCUUUCCUUGUAUGCCCAGUGAUCGCCGCGGUGUCCGCACACAGUAGGCGCUUAUUAAGUGCUUGCUUACUGGUUGCUCCGAGAGGGCUUCGGGGGCUCACCCCUGGCCAUACCCACUACUCGGCUAGCGAGGACGCCCGGCCACAUGUCCGGCAGGGCCCACAGUUUGGCUUUCCAGCAGCGCAGCGCUAAACACAAGGCCCCACCCGACCCCGGUGGGAGGGGGGACCCGAGCAGGGCCCCGUGGGCAGCGGCCAACAGCCGGUGGCCAGAACAGGUAGUGGGGGCCGCAGAUUAAAGCACGGGAAGGCGGCCAGAACGCACCGCAGUCGCAGCUCGCCCCGGGCGCCCUCGCGUCCCCGCGGGCGCCGCUGUCCGUCUCCCGAGGGAAGGGUCCGCGGACAGACGGGCCCGCGAAAGGGGGCGCCUCCUCCCCUCCCCCGCACACUCCGACACUGACCGUCGCCCGCCCACGAUCUCUAUGAAGCCCCCAAGCGCGCCCGCCGGGCCCUGACGUCAGGCUACCGCACAAGAAGCGGGCACGCAUCGCGCGCGGAGCAGAGCCCCGCCUCUCCCCAUCCCCGGUCCCACCUCCGCCCCUCCUUUUGUCUCCACGCCCCGCGGGGCCAGAGAGAGCUCGGAGCGCAUGCGCCCUGAGAGCAGAACCAGGUGAGGGGGAUGGGGCUGGGAAUGCUGCGUGGUGGCACGCUGGCCCACGUUCUUUCGCGCCGGGGCCCGAGUGCGGUCAGGGAGGAAGGAAGGUAGCGCACACCUUUGCUCCAAUGGCUGCAGCCCUUCCGCGCGCACUCCCCCAGGGAGAAGGGAAACCGAUAAACCUCAAUACUUCAUUCAAUACAAUGAUGGAAUACAUGGAUUACGUUUCAAGCCAGUGUGGGAGGUUUCAUUCUGUACCAGAAAAGGCAGCGCUGAAUCAUGUCUACAGAUAUCACCAAAACCACUCGGACCCAAUGUCCUCUUCCUGGGUGAGACGGAAAAAAUCCACAUCCCAAGACCCUAGAGAGAGCUACCAAGUAACAAAGAUUGGCCCAGGACCAUCCAUGUUUGAUCCAGGAUCAUCCAGGUUUGACCCAGGACCAUCCAAGUUUAACACAGGACCAUCCAGGUUUAACUUGGGGUCAUCCAAGUUUGACCCAGGACCAUCCAGGUUUGACCCAGGACCAUCCAGGUUUGACCCAGGACCAUCCAAAUUUGACCCAGGACCAUCCAGGUUUUACGCAGGACCAUCCAGGUUUGACUUGGGGUCAUCCAAGUUUGACCCAGGACCAUCCAGGUUUGACCCAGGACCAUCCAGUGUUGGCCCAGGACCAUCCAGGUUUGACCCGGGACCAUCCAGGUUUGACCCGGGACCAUCCAGGUUUGACCCGGGACCAUCCAGGUUUGACCCGGGACCAUCCAGGUUUGACUCGGGAUCAUCCAGGUUUGACACAGGGUCAUCCAGUCUUGGCCCAGGACCAUCCAGGUUUGACCCAGGACCAUCCAGGUUUGACCCAGGACCAUCCAGUCUUGGCCCAGGACCAUCCAGGUUUGGCCCAGGACCAUCCAGUCUUGGCCCAGGACCAUCCAGGUUUGGCCCAGGACCAUCCAGUCUUGGCCCAGGACCAUCCAGGUUUGGCCCAGGACCAUCCAGUCUUGGCCCAGGACCAUCCAGGUUUGGCCCAGGACCAUCCAGGUUUGACUCGGGGUCAUCCCAGUUUGACCUAGGACCAUCCAGUCUUGGCCCGGGACCAUCCAAGUUUGACCCAGGACCAUCCAAGUUUGACACAGGGUCAUGGAGUCUUGGCCCAAGAUCAUCCGAGUCUAUGGCCAGAACAAGUUCAAAGGACAUCACGAUAGAAGUUUGUCCAGGCACCUAUACUGUCACAGUAGGGUCCCCUAAUGUAACCACAACGCACAUGAUAGAGGUUGACUCAGGAGAAAUCAUCGAUCUGAGUUUCCCUCUUUAA